AAAAACAAGCAAUAUAACUUUAUUGCGCAUUAUCUACAUAUGUACAGUAUAACACAGCAGUAUUUCAGGAUUGCACAGGCCACUGUGGCUCACAUACCUACAUACAUACAUACAUACAUACAUACAAACACAUACACACAGAUCUUUGGCUUCAGUGAACAACAGACGCAGGAGUACCAGAGGAAUAUUCACGGUCCUUUAUAGGCGUAUACAGUUUUCUGAUGCUGUUAGUGGCUUUAACAGGUUGGAUGAAAGGUUACAAAUCUAAAAUUUCACAAGGAAGGGGGAAGAAAGAAAAAAACAUCGGACAUGGGAACGACUACAUGAUGUUUAUCUAUUCAACUGUUCCGCACAAAAGUGUGUUAUUGAAUCGUAGGAGGAUUUCAUCAGUCUGUGCUAACCAUCAUCACACUGUGGGAAGGUCACACAAAGAGAGAGAGAGAGAUCCAUGCACUGACAUGUCUAAAAUGACAGACUGACAUAUAGAAGCAUGGGAUUGUGGGCAGAUACGAACUCUUAUCACGGUUAGUCAGAGGCGUGGAUGAGGAAGGGAGGACAGUCCGAAUGGAUGGUUAGCAUAACACACGUACCGCGCAGAUUAUUAUAUAUGUGUGAAAUAACAUUGUCGUGCAUCAUUAUGAGUCCUCCGUAUUUAAUGAAUGCCUCUCUUAGCUUGCUCGGGUCACAUUGAGUGAGAAACAGGAUUAACCAAUCAGGAUGCAUUAUCAGCUCAGGGAUGUCAAAGUGAUGGCAAAUGAAGAAACACAGCUUGUUGGGGUUUUUUUUUUUUUUUUUACAGCAGGAGAAGAAAUAUUUGGAGUUUGGACUUGGAGUUCUGGCAUGUUUUGACGUCCUGGAAUGUUGUAAGAUGGGUCGGUUUGCCGGAAUGUUCAAGAUCAUUAGUGAUUGGUAUUGUUUUGGGAUUGAUCAGGCUUUUAGAGCACUUGAGAACGGAUCGAUGUUCUUGAAUUCAUGCGAAUGGGUUGGGUAUGUAGCUCCAGAAUGAGAGUAAGAGUUUAUAGAGAUUCAGAAAUGGCAUGUGUUGUGGAAUGUAGAAGCUUCUACAAGCUUGUUGAAUUCAUCUGGUGGUGCUUUGUGUGGGUUCAGUGUUCUGGAAUGAGUUGGUAUUUUAAUAUGUUCUAAGAUG
Ictalurus punctatus (channel catfish) is the source of this 1147-nucleotide long non-coding RNA. NCBI's taxonomy places the organism in Eukaryota, Metazoa, Chordata, Actinopteri, Siluriformes, Ictaluridae. The record is from Ensembl.